Molecule: ribosomal RNA, 406 nt
Filed under: uncultured bacterium
Lineage: Bacteria
Description: partial 16S ribosomal RNA
Rfam family: Bacterial small subunit ribosomal RNA
Source: RNAcentral
GAUGAACGCUAGCUACAGGCUUAACACAUGCAAGUCGAGGGACCGGCGCACGGGUGAGUAACACGUAUCCAACCUGCCCUUUACUCGGGGAUAGCCUUUCGAAAGAAAGAUUAAUACCCGAUAUAAAGGAUGGGGAUGCGUUCCAUUAGGUUGUGGGUGAGGUAACGGCGCACCAAGCCUUCGAUGGAUAGGGGUUCUGAGAGGAAGGUCCCCCACAAUGGAGCUGAGACACGGACCAAACUCGUACGGGAGGCAGCAGUGAGGAAUAUUGGUGAAUGGGCGCUAGCCUGAACAAGCCAAGUAGCGUGAAGGAUGAAGGCUUAUGGGUCGUAAACUUCUUAGAUAGAAGAAUAGGUAUUAGAUGAAUAAGGAUCGGCUAACUCCGUGCCAGCAGCCGCGGUAAUAC